Molecule: ribosomal RNA, 253 nt
Filed under: uncultured bacterium
Lineage: Bacteria
Description: partial 16S ribosomal RNA
Rfam family: Bacterial small subunit ribosomal RNA
Source: RNAcentral
UACGAAGGGGGCUAGCGUUGUUCGGAUUCAUUGGGCGUAAAGGGUGCGUAGGUGGCGCCGUAAGUCGGGUGUGAAAUUUCGGAGCUUAACUCCGAAACUGCAUUCGAUACUGGAAGGCUUGAAUCCGGGAGAGGGAUGCGGAAUUCCAGGUGUAGCGGUGAAAUGCGUAGAUAUCUGGAGGAACACCGGUGGCGAAGGCGGCAUCCUGGACCGGCAUUGACGCUGAGGCGCGAAAGCCAGGGGAGCAAACGGG